UACGGAGGAUGCGAGCGUUAUCCGGAUUUAUUGGGUUUAAAGGGUGCGUAGGCGGACUGUCAAGUCAGCGGUAAAAUACGGGGGCUCAACCUCCGCCCGCCGUUGAAACUGACGGUCUUGAGUGGGCGAGAAGUAUGCGGAAUGCGUGGUGUAGCGGUGAAAUGCAUAGAUAUCACGCAGAACUCCGAUUGCGAAGGCAGCAUACUGGCGCCCAACUGACGCUGAAGCACGAAAGCGUGGGUAUCGAACAGG
Molecule: ribosomal RNA, 252 nt
Filed under: uncultured bacterium
Lineage: Bacteria
Description: partial 16S ribosomal RNA
Rfam family: Bacterial small subunit ribosomal RNA
Source: RNAcentral